GAUGAACGCUGGCGGCGUGCCUAAUACAUGCAAGUCGAGCGAACAGAUGAGGAGCUUGCUCCUCUGACGUUAGCGGCGGACGGGUGAGUAACACGUGGAUAACCUACCUAUAAGACUGGGAUAAAUUCGGGAAACCGGAGCUAAUACCGGAUAAUAUAUUGAACCGCAUGGUUCAAUAGUGAAAGACGGUUUUGCUGUCACUUAUAGAUGGCUCCGCGCCGCAUUAGCUAGUUGGUAAGGUAACGGCUUACCAAGGCAACGAUGCGUAGCCGCCCUGAGAGGGUGAUCGGCCACACUGGAACUGAGACACGGUCCAGACUCCUACGGGAGGCAGCAGUAGGGAAUCUUCCGCAAUGGGCGAAAGCCUGACGGAGCAACGCCGCGUGAGUGAUGAAGGUCUUCGGAUCGUAAAACUCUGUUAUUAGGGAAGAACAAAUGUGUAAGUAACUAUGCACGUCUUGACGGUACCUAAUCAGAAAGCCACGGCUAACUACGUG
Molecule: ribosomal RNA, 497 nt
Filed under: uncultured bacterium
Lineage: Bacteria
Description: partial 16S ribosomal RNA
Rfam family: Bacterial small subunit ribosomal RNA
Source: RNAcentral